AUUUUGAACUUGCUGAGAUUUUUUUUUUUGUUUUUUUCGAGAGGUAGAUAGCACGCUAUUCGCUUCAUUUAUUUUAUUUAUAAAUAAAUUUAGCUGAAAAUGUGAAUCAAUUAGGAUUCGAACUUGGGUCUCAGAUACCAACCACCAAGUCUUUUGCCACUUGUUUUAGGGACGGUCCGUAACUUGCGAGAUUAUUAUAAGUUGUUUCACACGGUAAAGACUGAGUUUGGUUUAACCUCUCUUUUCUUUUUUUUUUCUUUUUUUUUUUAUGCGGCACAAUCUCUUUUGAUUCAGUUCAAUCAAUUUCGUUCCUUUCUUUUGAUUCAGUCCUAUGUCGCCAUGCAUGUGGCGACUAGUAGGGCCUAAUUAACAUGUGUAGUCGAGGGACAUGCAAAGAAUAUUGGUUGGGUUCGAUCCCUUAACAGCAUUGUACAAUACUAUUUGAAUAAUUUUUGUUGAGAGAUAGAUAACACGCUACCCGUUUUGUUUAUUUUAUUUAGAAAUAAAUUUAACUGAAAAUGUGAAUCAACUAGGAUUCGAACUUUGGACCUCGGAUACCAACCACCAAAUCCUUUGCCACUUGCUCUAAAGACAGUCGGUUACUAUUUGAAUAUUUUAAUGACUUAAUUACAUUUUACUACACUAUACUUUAGUGUUA
This 658-nucleotide long non-coding RNA is filed under the name Ananas comosus (pineapple). Its description in RNAcentral is "long non-coding RNA (ACOM_LNC008239)". Lineage: Eukaryota; Viridiplantae; Streptophyta; Magnoliopsida; Poales; Bromeliaceae. The record is from RNAcentral.